This 443-nucleotide ribosomal RNA is filed under the name uncultured bacterium. Its description in RNAcentral is "SSU rRNA". It matches the Rfam family "Bacterial small subunit ribosomal RNA", at positions 26 to 518 of the family's 1533-position model. The record is from RNAcentral.
AGAGCGAACGCUGGCGGCAGGCUUAACACAUGCAAGUCGAGCGCCCCGCAAGGGGAGCGGCAGACGGGAGAGUAACACGUGGGAACGUACCUUUCGGCUCGGAACAACCCAGGGAAACUUGGGCUAAUACCGGAUACGUCCGUAAGGAGAAAGAUUUAUCGCCGAAAGAUCGGCCCGCGUCUGAUUAGCUAGUUGGUGAGGUAACGGCUCACCAAGGCGACGAUCAGUAGCUGGUCUGAGAGGAUGAUCAGCCUCACUGGGACUGAGACACGGCCCAGACUCCUACGGGAGGCAGCAGUGGGGAAUAUUGGACAAUGGGCGCAAGCCUGAUCCAGCAAUGCCGCGUGAGUGAUGAAGGCCCUAGGGUUGUAAAGCUCUUUUGUGCGGGAAGAUAAUGACGGUACCGCAAGAAUAAGCCCGGCUAACUUCGCGCCAGCAGCCGC